AUUAAAUAUUGAGGUUAUAUUUAAAUUAAGAAUAUAAGGGUAGAGCUUUAUAAUUCAAUAGUGUGUGUAGUAUAAGUUAGUAAAUAAUUAUUUUUAUAAUUAGGUUUUUUAGUGGCCAUAUUUUUAAAGUGUUUAAACUAAUAUAAGUAGUUAAUUUAUUUAUUAAAUUUUAUUUUUUUUAGCAAAGUGAAUUUUUGAAUUUAAUUAAAUUAGUAAUAAUGAAAAUAUUAGUAGAAUGUGUUGUAGGAGAGUACAAGAUGUAUUUUUCAUAUAUUUUAAAAUAAAGAAAAUAAAAGUAGAGGAACUCGGCAAAAGAAGUUCUUGCCUGUUUAACAAAAACAUGUCUAUGUGAAGUUAUAUGAAGUCUAACCUGCCCGUUGAAGAUAAGUGAAAGGCCGCGGUAUUUUGACUGUGCAAAGGUAGCAUAAUUAGUAGUUUUUUAAUUGAAGGCUGGUAUGAAUGGUUGGACAAAGGAUAAGCUGUCUUUAUUUUUGUUUUUGAAAUUGUCUUUUAAGUGAAAAGACUUAAAUUGUUUUAAGGGACGAUAAGACCCUAUAAAUCUUUAUAUUAAUAUAAUUUUCAUUUUAAUUUUUAAUGUUUAUAAAACUGAAGGUGUAGUGUAUUGUAUUGGGGUGAUAAGAAUAAUAAAAUAAACUGUUCUAAGGUUUAAACAAAGUUAUUUGGAAUAGUUGUAGAUCCUUUAUAGAGAUUGGAAGUUUAAGUUACUUUAGGGAUAACAGCGUUAUUUUUUUUGAGAGUUCUAAUCGAAAAAAAAGUUUGCGACCUCGAUGUUGAAUUAAAAUUUCUUUAUGGUGUAGCCGUUAUAAAAGAAAGUCUGUUCGACUUUUAAAAUUUU
Molecule: ribosomal RNA, 856 nt
Filed under: Galathea sp. 1 PC-2010
Lineage: Eukaryota; Metazoa; Arthropoda; Malacostraca; Decapoda; Galatheidae
Description: partial 16S ribosomal RNA
Rfam family: Bacterial large subunit ribosomal RNA (bases 733-856)
Source: RNAcentral